Long non-coding RNA from Electrophorus electricus (electric eel), 1103 nucleotides. RefSeq lists it as uncharacterized. The record is from RefSeq and is a predicted model, not a curated record. Lineage: Eukaryota; Metazoa; Chordata; Actinopteri; Gymnotiformes; Gymnotidae.
UUUCUCAUUCCAGCUUUCCUUCUCUUUGCUCCCUUUGUUGUAUCUCAGGUGAAUUGUAAUCAUGUGAUCAAACGAACACCCCCCCCCCCUUCCAUUACCCCCUUAAAUGAAAAAAUCAGGAACAAAAAGCAGUUCUGUGUAUAUAAAAAAAGAAAAGAGAAAAGACGCGCGUGUCUCGUCAGAGCGUCUUUCUCCUAGUGUCCCUUCAAACGCACAGAUAUACAGAAAAAUGCUGCGGCACCUUUCUCCCGCGCGCGGAUAUACGGCUCUCACCGCGCGCAUGCAGACGUCCUGCGGGGGGGAACUAAAUCUUCCACUCCGGUUGACUGCCCGGUUCCUCCGGAUUUGUGGCCUCAGCUCGACUUUGAAAAAGUACAGCCCCGUCUGAUCUGUCCUCACACUGCUGACACAGCCUCCUCUUUCUCUCUCUGCACCUGCACCUGGAGGACUGAAGAUAACAACAGUGUGUGGAUUGCCUUCCUGAACCGUAAGCUCCCGUGUUGACCUCCAGCUCCUGCUACCACUUGCUACUCCCUCUGGGAGUCCUGGAUGAUUCGGAUAUUGAUGAGCACACCUUCCAGCAAGUAAAGAGAGUUUUUACAUUGUGACAGCAUCCCUGCUUGUGAGCUAGGCACAGUUCAGGUCGGGGACAACGGUAAAGAUGAACAGUGAAGUCACAGUAUGAAAGAGUGGAGGAGAACAUGCAGAUGUGCGCAUAUGAAAGGUUCUACAAAGUGAUAUGUCUAGCUAACUACGAGAGGAAUCUCUAUAUUUGAAUGACCAGGUUUUAUUGAUUUUUAUUUAUUAUACAUUGCUCUUUUCUCUGAGUUCCCUGUGAUGUCAUCAGUCUGCUUGGAAAAAGAAGCAGAGUGGACUUCUGAGGAGCAGAAAGGAUUGUGUGCUAUUGUGAACUAGAGUUUGGUGCAGGAUCAGGAGUCAUAUUACACACUACAUGUGACUCUGUGGACUGAAUAUUGGAAGCUUUUUAAGGGUUUUAUUUUCAUAAUUUUUAUAGUGACUUUCCCUUUCCAUUUUUCUUUUUAUGCCUGGGGUUUAUCUGAAUUUUGUUUACCUGUAAUAAUAAAAUUCCUUGAUAAUACUGA